GUUUAAGUACCACUGAUGUAGUGGUUUUAGCAUUGCACCAGGACUCUGGAGACCAGGGUUCGAAUCCCUGCUCAACCA
Non-coding RNA from Phrynosoma platyrhinos (Desert horned lizard), 78 nucleotides. The record is from the annotation of a GenBank genome assembly. NCBI's taxonomy places the organism in Eukaryota, Metazoa, Chordata, Lepidosauria, Squamata, Phrynosomatidae.